AGUAAUAAUAACUGCAUAACAACAUAUUUCAGAAGCUUUUGGUUCAAUGUCUUGCUAAAAAAUAGUUAAGAAGACAGUUUUUGAAAUUAGUAAUUGAGUCAAUUGAUUUUAAUGGUGAAGGUAAACUGUUCCAUGAUUUUACACUUUGGUAUUUUAUGGAUUUUAGACUAUAUUUUACAGAAGAAUGAUUUGAUACAAGAAGAUCAUAGUUAUUAGAAGAUCAAAGAUUAUAGCGACAGCUUUCUCUCACAGUUAAAAUUGUUGUAAAUGUGCUAGAUCUGAUAGCAAUAUAUGAAGGAUCACACUCUCUAUUUUCUGAAACCAUCUGCGUGCACUUCAAUUGCAGGAUAUAUGAUCGCCUAUGGAAUCAAUUAGAGUUAAUUGGAAAUGAGCAAGUUGUGCUGAUGUAGUAGUCACUGCAUACUCUAUAUGUAGAUACAUUCAUACGUAAAGAAAAAGAGAUAAAAGUAUAUGGUUGGCUAUAAUAUGGAAAGUUAAAAAAGUUAAAAUCCACAAAGCAUAAAGUAUAAAUAUGGAAUCUGGAAGCACUGAAAAAGCAUUGUAUUGAAUCUGGAUACUAUGUAGGGAGAAA
Molecule: long non-coding RNA, 592 nt
Organism: Hydra vulgaris (swiftwater hydra)
Lineage: Eukaryota; Metazoa; Cnidaria; Hydrozoa; Anthoathecata; Hydridae
Source: RefSeq, a predicted model, not a curated record